AUUGAACGCUGGCGGCAGGCUUAACACAUGCAAGUCGAGCGGGGUGAUGGUGCUUGCACUAUCACUUAGCGGCGGACGGGUGAGUAAUGCUUAGGAAUCUGCCUAUUAGUGGGGGACAACAUCUCGAAAGGGAUGCUAAUACCGCAUACGUCCUACGGGAGAAAGCAGGGGAUCACUUGUGACCUUGCGCUAAUAGAUGAGCCCAAGUCGGAUUAGCUAGUUGGUGGGGUAAAGGCCUACCAAGGCGACGAUCUGUAGCGGGUCUGAGAGGAUGAUCCGCCACACUGGGACUGAGACACGGCCCAGACUCCUACGGGAGGCAGCAGUGGGGAAUAUUGGACAAUGGGGGGAACCCUGAUCCAGCUAUGCCGCGUGUGUGAAGAAGGCCUUAUGGUUGUAAAGCACUUUAAGCGAGGAGGAGGCUCUUUUGGUUAAUACCCAAGAUGAGUGGACGUUACUCGCAGAAUAAGCACCGGCUAACUCUGUGCCAGCCGCCGCAGUAA
RNAcentral lists this ribosomal RNA (503 nucleotides) under uncultured bacterium. RNAcentral's name for it is "partial 16S ribosomal RNA". It matches the Rfam family "Bacterial small subunit ribosomal RNA", at positions 30 to 523 of the family's 1533-position model. The record is from RNAcentral.